RNAcentral lists this ribosomal RNA (427 nucleotides) under uncultured archaeon. Its description in RNAcentral is "bacterial SSU rRNA". It matches the Rfam family "Archaeal small subunit ribosomal RNA", at positions 44 to 473 of the family's 1478-position model. The record is from RNAcentral.
UUAAGCCAUGCAAGUCGAACGAGUUUAGGCUCGUGGCGUACGGCUCAGUAACACGUGGAUAACCUACCCUUAGGAUCGGGAUAACCUUGGGAAACUGAGGAUAAUACUGGAUAGGCAAUUAUUCCUGCAAUGGUUUUUUGUUUAAAUGUUUUUUCGCCUAAGGAUGGGUCUGCGGCCGAUUAGGUAGUUGGUUAGGUAAUGGCCUACCAAGCCGUUGAUCGGUACGGGUUGUGAGAGCAAGAGCCCGGAGAUGGAACCUGAGACAAGGUUCCAGGCCCUACGGGGUGCAGCAGGCGCGAAACCUCCGCAAUGUGAGAAAUCGCGACGGGGGGAUUCCAAGUGCCAUUCUUAACGGGAUGGCUUUUCAUUAGUGUAAAGAGCUUUUGGAAUAAGGGCUGGGCAAGACCGGUGCCAGCCGCCGCGGUAA